Molecule: long non-coding RNA, 1126 nt
Organism: Mesocricetus auratus (golden hamster)
Lineage: Eukaryota; Metazoa; Chordata; Mammalia; Rodentia; Cricetidae
Exons: 3
Source: RefSeq, a predicted model, not a curated record
CGAACCCCCAACGCCGGCUCCGGGCUCGCUAAACUUUCCAAGAGCGUCUCCCCGGUGUCCCCCAGCCGAUAGCCCCAGGAUUACGCUUUCCCACUGGCCCGGCACCCACUGACAGGCGGGCAGCGGCGGCGAGCGGGGCGGGGGCGCCUGGGCGCCGCGGAGGGGCGGGGCGGCCGGAGCCAAGUUCCCGGGGGUCCGAGCGCAGCGCCUGACAGGAGCCCGGGACCGCGAAAGAGGAAGAGGAAGCGGCGGCGGGGCAGUUUUCCCAAUCCCCCCCUUCCAAGCGCACCCUACCCCCCCAGCCCCCGGCUGCCCGUAGGGGGGGCGGGGAGGCGGACUGCAAGAUGCUUAUGAUGAAACAGUGAGGUCGUCAAAGAAAACAUUAUCAUUCCCACGGUAUCUUUUCCGAAAUAAAAGCUUAGAAGAGAAAAGGGGUUCGCUCAAAGCAGGGUGACCAAAGACAAAUUCUGCUGACUUCCAUUCGUCACCUCGCUCGGUAUGGGUAUUUUGCCUGCCUUCUUGUUUGUGUACUACAUGAGUGCCAUACCCUUGGAGAUCAGAAAAGGACAUCAGAUCCAAUAGGACUGAAGUCAUAAAUGGUUGCAAGUCACCAUGUGGGUGCUAGGGAUUGCACCUAGGUCUUCUGGAGGAGCCCAGUGUUCUUGGCUGCUGAGCUAUCACUGCAGCCCCUAAACUAAUUCAGCACACAAAGUAAUGACUUUCAUUAUGGCAUUUUCAUAUGCUUGUGUUAUUAUACCUUCUUCUAAUUCAUCCCUUCUUCCACUGAGCUCCUCCAUCCUCCCUGUACCCCUCUUAACGGUCACCUUCCUCUCUCUAAAUAGUCCCCGUUUCUGUUCUCAUGCCACUUGUAUUCUAUUAUUCUCUUUUUUCCUUCCUUCCACUUCCCUUAAGAUCUCUUCUCAAGAUCCCCUUUCCAGUUUUAUCUCUCUCUCCCUGUCUGUCUCCCCCGCCACACACGCACAAAUCAGGCUCUACAGAUGAGUGAAAACAUGCAGUAUUCAUCUUCCUCAUUCUGGCUUUUCUUAACAUAACAAUUUCCAGUUCCAUCCAUCUCCCACAAAUAUCGUUUUUCUUCAUGCCAAAUAAAACUGCAUUGUGUGCAAUG